RNAcentral lists this ribosomal RNA (497 nucleotides) under uncultured bacterium. RNAcentral's name for it is "partial 16S ribosomal RNA". It matches the Rfam family "Bacterial small subunit ribosomal RNA", at positions 28 to 507 of the family's 1533-position model. The record is from RNAcentral.
GAUGAACGCUGGCGGCGUGCCUAAUACAUGCAAGUCGAGCGAACAGACGAGGAGCUUGCUCCUCUGACGUUAGCGGCGGACGGGUGAGUAACACGUGGAUAGCCUACCUAUAAGACUGGGAUAACUUCGGGAAACCGGAGCUAAUACCGGAUAAUAUAUUGAACCGCAUGGUUCAAUAGUGAAAGACGGUUUUGCUGUCACUUAUAGAUGGAUCCGCGCCGCAUUAGCUAGUUGGUAAGGUAACGGCUUACCAAGGCAACGAUGCGUAGCCGACCUGAGAGGGCGAUCGGCCACACUGGAACUGAGACACGGUCCAGACUCCUACGGGAGGCAGCAGUAGGGAAUCUUCCGCAAUGGGCGAAAGCCUGACGGAGCAACGCCGCGUGAGUGAUGAAGGUCUUCGGAUCGUAAAACUCUGUUAUUAGGGAAGAACAAAUGUGUAAGUAACUAUGCACGUCUUGACGGUACCUAAUCAGAAAGCCACGGCUAACUACGUG